RNAcentral lists this ribosomal RNA (301 nucleotides) under uncultured bacterium. RNAcentral describes it as "partial 16S ribosomal RNA". It matches the Rfam family "Bacterial small subunit ribosomal RNA", at positions 509 to 807 of the family's 1533-position model. The record is from RNAcentral.
CAGCAGCCGCGGGAAUACCGAGGGUGCAAGCGUUAAUCGGAAUUACUGGGCGUAAAGCGCGCGUAGGUGGUUUGUUAAGUUGGAUGUGAAAUCCCCGGGCUCAACCUGGGAACUGCAUCCAAAACUGGCAAGCUAGAGUAUGGUAGAGGGUGGUGGAAUUUCCUGUGUAGCGGUGAAAUGCGUAGAUAUAGGAAGGAACACCAGUGGCGAAGGCGACCACCUGGACUGAUACUGACACUGAGGUGCGAAAGCGUGGGGAGCAAACAGGAUUAGAUACCCCCGUAGUCCCUGUCUAUUAUAC